UGAUCCUGGCUCAGAUUGAACGCUGGCGGCAGGCGUAACACAUGCAAGUCGAACGGUAACAGGAUAGCUUGCUAUCGCUGACGAGUGGCGGACGGGUGAGUAAUACUUAGGGAUCUGCCUCUGUGUGGGGGAUAACUAUUGGAAACGAUAGCUAAUACCGCAUAAUGUCUACGGACCAAAGCGGGCUUCGGCUCGUGCGCAGAGAGGAACCUAAGCGAGAUUAGCUAGUUGGUGAGGUAAAGGCUCACCAAGGCGACGAUCUCUAGCUGUUCUGAGAGGAAGAUCAGCCACACUGGAACUGAGACACGGUCCAGACUCCUACGGGAGGCAGCAGUGGGGAAUAUUGCACAAUGGGGGAAACCCUGAUGCAGCCAUGCCGCGUGUGUGAAGAAGGCCUUCGGGUUGUAAAGCACUUUCAGUUGUGAGGAAAGUUUAGUAGUUAAUACCUGCUAGAUGUGACGUUAGCAACAGAAGAAGCACCGGCUAACUCCGUGCCAGCAGCCGCGGUAAUACGGAGGGUGCGAGCGUUAAUCGGAAUUACUGGGCGUAAAGCGCACGCAGGCGGUCUGUUAAGCUAGAUGUGAAAGCCCCGCGCUCAACGUGGGAGGGUCAUUUAGAACUGGCAGACUAGAGUCUUGGAGAGGGGAGUGGAAUUCCAGGUGUAGCGGUGAAAUGCGUAGAGAUCUGGAGGAACAUCAAUGGCGAAGGCAACUCCCUGGCCAAAGACUGACGCUCAUGUGCGAAAGUGUGGGUAGCGAACAGGAUUAGAUACCCUGGUAGU
Molecule: ribosomal RNA, 781 nt
Filed under: uncultured marine bacterium
Lineage: Bacteria
Description: bacterial SSU rRNA
Rfam family: Bacterial small subunit ribosomal RNA
Source: RNAcentral